CGGUAAUUCCAGCUCCAAUAGCGUAUACUAAAGUUGUUGCAGUUAAAAAGCUCGUAGUUGGAUUUCUGCGGGGACGGAGCGGCCGGUCGCAACUUGCGACUCGAGCUAGCGCUUUCCCCGCAUCCUGCCGCGAACCGUGCUACCAUUAGCUUGGUGGCGCUGGGGAUCGGCUCGAUUACUUUGAGAAAAAUAGAGUGUUCAAAGCAGGCCACACGCCUUGAAUAAGUUAGCAUGGAAUAAUGACUAAGGACUUCGGUUCUAUUUUGUUGGUGUUCGGGACUGAAGUAAUGAUUGAUAGGGACAGUUGGGGCGGUCUGUAUUCCAAAGCGAGAGGUGAAAUUCUUAGACCUUCGGAAGACAAACAGCUGCGAAAGCGUUCCGCAAGGAUGUUCCCUUUGAUCAAGAACGAAAGUUGGGGGAUCGAAGACGAUCAGAUACCGUCGUAGUCUCAACUAUAAACUAUACCAGCUAGGGAUCGGUCAACGUUUAAUCAUUCGACUUGAUCGGCACCUUAUGAGAAAUCAAAGCAUCUGGGUUCCGGGGGGAGUAUGGUCGCAAGGCUGAAACUUAAAGGAAUUGACGGAAGGGCACCACCAGCCGUGGAGCCUGUGGCUUAAUUUGACUCAACACGGGAAAACUUACCAGGUCCAGACAUAGUAAGGAUUGACAGAUUGAUAGCUCUUUCUUGAUUCUGUGGGUGGUGGUGCAUGGCCGUUCUUAGUUGGUGGAGUGAUUUGUCUGGUUAAUUCCGUUAACGAACGAGACCCCAGCCUGCUAAAUAGCGCGGCUGAGCUUUGCUCGGUGCGAGCUUCUUAGAGGGACUAUGAUGCGCGAUAGCACAUGGGAGUUUGGGGCAAUAACAGGUCUGUGAUGCCCUUAGAUGUUCUGGGCCGCACACGGGCUACACUGGCGCCUGCAACGAGCAUAUCAGCUGGCCCGAGAGGGUCUUGGCUAAUCUUUUGAACCGGCGCCGUGCUUGGGAUUGACCUUUGCAAUUGUUGGUCAUGCAACGAGGAAUGCCUUGUAAACGCGAGUCAUCAGCUCGCAUUGAAUACGUCCCUGCCCUUUGUACACACCGCCC
RNAcentral lists this ribosomal RNA (1081 nucleotides) under uncultured Rhizaria. RNAcentral's name for it is "SSU rRNA". It matches the Rfam family "Eukaryotic small subunit ribosomal RNA", at positions 577 to 1674 of the family's 1831-position model. The record is from RNAcentral.